GCGAAAACUUUACAAUGCUGGCAACAGCGAUAAGGGAACCUCGAGUGCCAGGUUACAAAUCUGGCUGUCGAGAUGCCUAAAAAGCAUUUCAUUGCAAGGGCCGGGCAAGACCGGUGCCAGCCGCCGCGGUAACACCGGCGGCUCGAGUGGUAACCGUUAUUAUUGGGUCUAAAGGGUCUGUAGCCGGCCGGAUAAGUCUCUUGAGAAAUCUGGCAGCUUAACUGUCAGGCUUUCAGGAGAUACUGUCUGGCUCGAGGCCGGGAGAGGUGAGAGGUACUUCAGGGGUAGGGGUGAAAUCUUGUAAUCCUUGAAGGACCACCAGUGGCGAAGGCGUCUCACCAGAACAGACCUGACGGCAAGGGACGAAAGCUAGGGGCACGAACC
Molecule: ribosomal RNA, 384 nt
Filed under: uncultured prokaryote
Description: bacterial SSU rRNA
Rfam family: Archaeal small subunit ribosomal RNA
Source: RNAcentral